Molecule: ribosomal RNA, 38 nt
Filed under: Entrophospora infrequens
Lineage: Eukaryota; Fungi; Glomeromycota; Glomeromycetes; Entrophosporales; Entrophosporaceae
Description: partial 26S ribosomal RNA
Source: RNAcentral
UUGACCUCGGAUCAGGCGGGGAUACCCGCUGAACUUAA